RNAcentral lists this ribosomal RNA (407 nucleotides) under uncultured bacterium. Its description in RNAcentral is "partial 16S ribosomal RNA". It matches the Rfam family "Bacterial small subunit ribosomal RNA", at positions 28 to 526 of the family's 1533-position model. The record is from RNAcentral.
GACGAACGCUGGCGGCGUGCCUAAUACAUGCAAGUAGGACGCAGUUGCGAACGGGUGAGUAACGCGUAGGUAACUACCUAUUAGAGGGGGAUAACUAUUGGAAACGAUAGCUAAUACCGCAUACUAGUAGAUGGACCUGCGUUGUAUUAGCUAGUAGGUAGGGUAAUGGCCUACCUAGGCAACGGUACAUAGCCGACCUGCGCGGGUGGACGGCCAACCUGGGGCUGGGAAACGGCCCAGACUCCUGCCGGAGGCAGCAGUAGGGAAUCUUCGGGAAUUGGAGGAACCCUGGCCGAGCAACGCCGCGUGAGUGAAGGAGGUUUUCGGAUCGUAAAGCUCUGGUGUUAAGGAAGCGGGACUUAACCAGAAAGGGACGGGUAACUACGUGCCAGCAGCCGCGGUAAUUC